AUCACAGUUGUUACAUCCUCACAGGCAAGUGGCAUGUUUAUUUUAAUGGAAAAUGAAACCAUGGUGUAUGUGAUCUGAUGAGAUCAAGUUCUCUAGCAGUUGCAUCGUGGUCAUGUUUAGAACAUCUUGUUUGUUUUGAUUUUAUUUUGAAAAGCACAAACAAUUUUCAUUGCAAUACUUACGAUAAAUAUAUUAAUUUACAGAAAUGUGACAUGGUCAUCCUCCAACUAGGUGUUUUAGCUUUUGUAUUUUUACUAGAAUUUAAUGCUCUUCCCUCAUGCAAGUGGCAUGUUUAUUUUAAUGGAAAAUGAAACCAUGGUGUAUGUGAUCUGAUGAGAUCAAGUUCUCUAGCAGUUGCAUCGUGGUCAUGUUUAGAACAUCUUGUUUGUUUUGAUUUUAUUUUGAAAAGCACAAACAAUUUUCAUUGCAAUACUUACGAUAAAUAUAUUAAUUUACAGAAAUGUGACAUGGUCAUCCUCCAACUAGGUGUUUUAGCUUUUGUAUUUUUACUAGAAUUUAAUGCUCUUCCCUC
This 532-nucleotide unclassified non-coding RNA is filed under the name Hevea brasiliensis (rubber tree). The record is from RNAcentral. Lineage: Eukaryota; Viridiplantae; Streptophyta; Magnoliopsida; Malpighiales; Euphorbiaceae.